UACAGAGGUCUCAAGCGUUGUUCGGAUUCAUUGGGCGUAAAGGGUGCGUAGGUGGCGCCGUAAGUCAGGUGUGAAAUCUCGGGGCUUAACUCCGAAACUGCAUUUGAUACUGCGGUGCUUGAGGACUGGAGAGGAGACUGGAAUUCAUGGUGUAGCAGUGAAAUGCGUAGAGAUCAUGAGGAAGACCAGUGGCGAAGGCGGGUCUCUGGACAGUUCCUGACGCUGAGGCACGAAGGCCAGGGGAGCAAACGGG
Molecule: ribosomal RNA, 253 nt
Filed under: uncultured bacterium
Lineage: Bacteria
Description: partial 16S ribosomal RNA
Rfam family: Bacterial small subunit ribosomal RNA
Source: RNAcentral